RNAcentral lists this ribosomal RNA (688 nucleotides) under uncultured bacterium. RNAcentral describes it as "bacterial SSU rRNA". It matches the Rfam family "Bacterial small subunit ribosomal RNA", at positions 126 to 812 of the family's 1533-position model. The record is from RNAcentral.
CUGCCCCUGUCAGGGGGACAACCCGCCGAAAGGCGGGCUAAACCCGCGUACAUGCCACCGGGGCAUCCCGGAGGCAGGAAAGGCUUCGGCCGGACAGGGAUGGGCAUGCGGCGCAUUAGGCAGUAGGCGGGGUAACGGCCCACCUAACCGACGAUGCGUAGGGGUUCUGAGAGGAAGGUCCCCCACACUGGUACUGAGACACGGACCAGACUCCUACGGGAGGCAGCAGUGAGGAAUAUUGGUCAAUGGUCGGGAGACUGAACCAGCCAAGCCGCGUGAGGGAUGAAGGUACAGAGUAUCGUAAACCUCUUUUGUCAGGGAACAAAGACUGGGACGCGUCCCCGGAUGAGUGUACCUGAAGAAAAAGCAUCGGCUAACUCCGUGCCAGCAGCCGCGGUAAUACGGAGGAUGCGAGCGUUAUCCGGAUUUAUUGGGUUUAAAGGGUGCGCAGGCGGUCUGUUAAGUCAGCGGUCAAAGCCCGGGGCUCAACCCCGGCCCGCCGUUGAAACUGGCAGUCUCGAGUUGGAGAGAAGUAUGCGGAAUGCGCGGUGUAGCGGUGAAAUGCAUAGAUAUCGCGCAGAACUCCGAUUGCGAAGGCAGCAUGCCGGCUCCACACUGACGCUGAGGCACGAAAGCGUGGGUAUCGAACAGGAUUAGAUACCCUGGUAGUCCACGCAGUAAACGAUGA